GCCGGGCCCCGUGGCUGGUGCCUGUGGUCCCAGCUCCCGGGGAGGCUGAGGCCAGCAGAUCGCUUUAGCUCGGAGUUGCGGGCUGUGCUGAUUGGGUGUCCGCAUUAAUAUGGUGAUCCCGGGGGAGCUUUGGGUCCCCAUGUUGCCUAAGGAGGGGUGAACCGGCCCAGGUCGGAAACAGCGCAGGUCAAAACUCCGGUGCCGAUCGGUAGUGGGAUCGCGCCUGUGAAUAGCCCCUGUAGCGUAACCUGGGUGAGACAUGGUUGCUUUUU
Molecule: signal recognition particle RNA, 272 nt
Filed under: Gopherus evgoodei (Goodes thornscrub tortoise)
Lineage: Eukaryota; Metazoa; Chordata; Testudines; Testudinidae
Description: Metazoan signal recognition particle RNA (ENSGEVG00005000245.1)
Rfam family: Metazoan signal recognition particle RNA
About the family: The signal recognition particle (SRP) is a universally conserved ribonucleoprotein.
Source: Rfam by way of RNAcentral